This 740-nucleotide ribosomal RNA is filed under the name uncultured Bacteroidales bacterium. RNAcentral describes it as "bacterial SSU rRNA". It matches the Rfam family "Bacterial small subunit ribosomal RNA", at positions 28 to 755 of the family's 1533-position model. The record is from RNAcentral. Lineage: Bacteria; Pseudomonadati; Bacteroidota; Bacteroidia; Bacteroidales.
GAUGAACGCUAGCUACAGGCUUAACACAUGCAAGUCGAGGGGCAGCAUGGUCUUAGCUUGCUAAGGCUGAUGGCGACCGGCGCACGGGUGAGUAACACGUAUCCAACCUGCCGUCUACUCUUGGCCAGCCUUCUGAAAGGAAGAUUAAUCCAGGAUGGGAUCAUGAGUUCACAUGUCCGCAUGAUUAAAGGUAUUUUCCGGUAGACGAUGGGGAUGCGUUCCAUUAGAUAGUAGGCGGGGUAACGGCCCACCUAGUCAACGAUGGAUAGGGGUUCUGAGAGGAAGGUCCCCCACAUUGGAACUGAGACACGGUCCAAACUCCUACGGGAGGCAGCAGUGAGGAAUAUUGGUCAAUGGGCGAUGGCCUGAACCAGCCAAGUAGCGUGAAGGAUGACUGCCCUAUGGGUUGUAAACUUCUUUUAUAAAGGAAUAAAGUCGGGUAUGCAUACCCGUUUGCAUGUACUUUAUGAAUAAGGAUCGGCUAACUCCGUGCCAGCAGCCGCGGUAAUACGGAGGAUCCGAGCGUUAUCCGGAUUUAUUGGGUUUAAAGGGAGCGUAGAUGGAUGUUUAAGUCAGUUGUGAAAGUUUGCGGCUCAACCGUAAAAUUGCAGUUGAUACUGGAUGUCUUGAGUGCAGUUGAGGCAGGCGGAAUUCGUGGUGUAGCGGUGAAAUGCUUAGAUAUCACGAAGAACUCCGAUUGCGAAGGCAGCCUGCUAAGCUGCAACUGACAUUGAGGCUCG